This 459-nucleotide ribosomal RNA is filed under the name uncultured bacterium. Its description in RNAcentral is "partial 16S ribosomal RNA". It matches the Rfam family "Bacterial small subunit ribosomal RNA", at positions 338 to 795 of the family's 1533-position model. The record is from RNAcentral.
CCUACGGGAGGCAGCAGUGAGGAAUAUUGGUCAAUGGCCGAGAGGCUGAACCAGCCAAGUCGCGUGAGGGAAGAAUGUCCUAUGGAUUGUAAACCUCUUUUGUCAGGGAGCACAGUCACCCACGUGUGGGUGUUGGAGAGUACCUGAAGAAAAAGCAUCGGCUAACUCCGUGCCAGCAGCCGCGGUAAUACGGAGGAUGCGAGCGUUAUCCGGAUUUAUUGGGUUUAAAGGGUGCGUAGGCGGAAUGCCAAGUCAGCGGUAAAAUCGCGGGGCUCAACCUCGCUCCGCCGUUGAAACUGGCGGUCUUGAGUGGGCGAGAAGUAUGCGGAAUGCGAGGUGUAGCGGUGAAAUGCAUAGAUAUCACGCAGAACUCCGAUUGCGAAGGCAGCAUACCGGCGCCCAACUGACGCUGAGGCACGAAAGCGUGGGUAGCGAACAGGAUUAGAUACCCCAGUAGUC